RNAcentral lists this long non-coding RNA (1353 nucleotides) under Marmota monax (woodchuck). The record is from RNAcentral. Lineage: Eukaryota; Metazoa; Chordata; Mammalia; Rodentia; Sciuridae.
CCCAAAACUAACAAACUGAUGGGAAAAGAAGGGGUUUGAAUUUCUCCAAGUCUGUCAGGCAGUUGCUCUUAUAUUUAUCAGGAGUGCUAAUUAAUUCCUCAAGGAGUUCUUAUCACUUCAGACCCUAGGGCUCAGCCCUGUCUUGGGUCUGGGAUGACACUGGAGUGGAGCAGUGCCCAUACUUCUGGCUUGUUGUUUGCUGGACUUGCAGGGAUCAGGGAGAGCUAGGAGGUGCCCUCUGUGCUAUGUCCAGUUAAGAGAAGCCUCUCUGUUAGCUGCUGCUCAUAAUACACACAUAUUCCUUCGUUAUUUUGCAUUUAAAAAGUGAAGACAGGGUAGUUCCUCUGCUUGCUAUAAGGGAGUGAUCGGAGAGUUCACCCUAAAAUACUUCUUCUGAGGAAGGGCUUUAAGGGACUAGUGACUUCCACAGGCAGCAGAGCUGACUGCCCUGUUCACCAGGUGAGAAACCAGAGAAGAAACUCAUCUGAAGAAAUUAUUAGUCACUUCGUUCCUGUGGCUUGCACUGUGGACCAUCGGUGGAAAUGGUAAUUUUAGCAUUGGUUUGGUCAGCAAACUAAGUGGAGAGGCAGCUGGAUUGGGGUGGAGGUGGGGUACAGUUCAGGCUGUGACCGCACUGUACCUCAGCUCCCUCUACUCAGACACUGUAGGCACUGGCAUUUGCUUUGGCUACUUUUCUUUGAGAGAAGGGAGACGUCUCUAUGGAUAGAGGAGGAGAAGGAAAUACUGAUGUGCAUGUGUUUUAUUCUUUUAAAGUCUGAAACUUAAAAAAUAUUUUACAGAGGAGUGAGUGUAGUCAUUCCUUAGUAUCCAUGGAGGAUUGGCUCCAGGACCCCCUGAGGAUUCUGAAAUCCAGAACAUACUUCAAUCCUUUAGGUAGAAAGGUAUAACUUUGCAUAUGACCUAUUCAUAUCUUCCCAUAUACUUUAAAUCACCUCUAAACGACUUGUAACACCUAAUGUAAUUCAAAUGUUACGUACACAGUUGUUUUACUGUAUUGUUUGGGAGUAAUGACUAGAAAAAGGUCUGUACAGGUUCAGUACACAAUUUUUCCUGAAUAUUUUUGAUCCGGGAUUGACUCCAUGGAUGUGGAACCCUUGGAUGUGGAGGGCGGACUGUACACGAACUUUUUUAUCCUGACCCACUUGAGGGUAAGUUGCGAUAGUUUUCUGCACAUUACCAUGCAAGUAUCAAAUAGGAAAUCGGCAUGAAUAUAGUUCCCUGUAAGAUCUUAAGGUCAAAGUUAGGCCUCAAGGAUUGUCCCAAUGUCUUCUGUAGGAAGAGGAUCCUAUACACUUGGUUAUCAUGUAUAUCUCUUUGGCUCAUUCGGUCUAG